Triticum dicoccoides is the source of this 4890-nucleotide long non-coding RNA. RefSeq lists it as uncharacterized. The record is from RefSeq and is a predicted model, not a curated record. Lineage: Eukaryota; Viridiplantae; Streptophyta; Magnoliopsida; Poales; Poaceae. The transcript has 23 exons.
CCACCCUCUCUCCCGCACCCGCACCCAGACCUAGCCACCACCAAUGUCAGCGGCGGCGCCGCCGCCGCGCCGCCGGACGUGGUCCCCCUCCGCCUUCCGCCCGAUGGCCCAGUACGCCUCCUCCGCGCCUCCAUGGCCCGCAAGACCUGGAGCCACAAGCGUCUCGCGCCGGGGAUUCCGACGCCGCCUCCACGAGCUCCACCCGGCACCCCCCGCGCUCGGGUUCCUCCACAACCGGGCCGAUGAGGACGAGCGCAGCCCCUGCUUCAUCCCCACCGCCGCCUCGUCCUUCUCCCUCGUCGCCCGGACCGCCGCUUCCGGCGGGCCAUCGGCUGCCGCCACGGCCGCGCACCUCUUCCUCUCCAAGGACAGGUGCGACCACCUCGUCCUCGACUGCCUCGCGGGCCCUUUCCGGGUGGUCUUCCUCUUCGCCGUCGAGGGAGACGCCGACAACGACGCGUAUGCUCGACGGAGACUGGCGGCCGGGGCGAGCUGACCUCGAUGCGCUGCCAAGGCGAGUUCUCCAUGGAAUUCUCGUUGGCAGGUCUCUGCUCUACUCCAUGUCCACGGGGACAGUGCGUCGAUCGUGGAUCAUGACCUGGGAAGCCGCGACCUGACUCUGUUCGGCCCACCACCAGACAAGCACUACAAGCACGGAUGCUGUCAAGGAUGGGGAUUUUGUCAACGCCUUUGAAUGCGUUAGCCACAACCUCAUGAUCAGGCUGGUGAGUUUUUCUAUGCAGCUCAAAGAAGCGCUGUAGCACAAGGGGGGCAAUUGGAAGCAAAUCAGUUUGGUCAGAAUUCACCGGAGAGUCCUUCCUUGGAGCAGGAUUCUCAAUCGGCAGCUGAAAGAUUAGUGAGAUAGACUGAAUUCUGAACAUGUAUCAUCUGUUCCAUGUGAGAGAAAUCGCAUGUCGAUAUCAUCUUGAAAUAAUCACAGCUGGGGGGACGAGGUUGGUAGCUGAGGGUGAUGUGCAGAGCGGGAGGAAGGAGGUGUGAGGCUUGGAACUCUCCUUGUGAAGUGCUCAGGGACAGCGGUGAGGAGCAUGGCAGGUGUCCAACCUGACCUCCUCGGCAACAGCAACAAGGGUGGCCGCGGUGACAAGGGAGGAGACGACAACCAGCAGAGCAAUCAGAUCGCUAAGUCUCUGAUCCCGUCACUUCCUGCUCGAUUCGCUUGGCUCCUGUGCUGAUUUCUCUUUGGUUUCCCAGGUUUGUUGUGGUUGCAGAAUGGCGCAGAGGAAUUGGGAAGCGGACUAUGGACAUGAUGCGUGAUGUGCACAUCCAUGACUAUUUGCUCAAGUGAAACAUCCAAACGGCCAACCUGUUCAUGGUGGAGGGGGCCAUGCCUGCUAAGUCCUCCAAUUCAUGCUCAUGCUGGCUGCUGGGGCGAGCUGACCACGAUGCUCUGCGAAGGCGAGUUCUCCAUGGAAUUCACACAACAUUCCAGCGUUCUCGUUGGCAGGUCUCUGCACUUCUCCAUGUCCACGGGGACAGUGCGUCCAUCGUGGAGCAUGACCUGGCAAGUCGCGACCUGACUCUGCUCGGCCAACUAGACAAGCACUAUAAGCACAGAUGCUGUCAAGGAUGGGGAUUUUUGUCAACGCCUUUGAAUGCGUCAGCCACAACCUCAAGAUCAGGGCUCCUUGUUAUGGAGAAGGUGCUCUCGAGGGUGUAGCACACUCAACAAACAUGGAUGUGCCUUGCUAUCCAAAGAUUCUCCUAGUGAUGUUCCUAAGAGGGCACCAAAUGAAGAAUCGGCGAAGGGUACAACCCGCAAAGAUGAUGCUGGGAACCUUUGACCUCUGAUAGCAAUGUUGAUGGUGCUUCACCUUCAGAGAAGGCUGGUGAGUUUUUCUAUUCAGCUCAAAGAAGCGCUGUAGCACAAGAGAGGCAAUUGGUAGCAAAUCAGUCUGGUCAGAAUUCACCGGAGAGUCCUUCCUUAGAGCAGCUGAAAGAUUAGUGAGACUGACUGAUGCUGAACAUGUACCAUCUGUUCCAUGUGAGAGAAAUAGCAUGUCGAUAUCAUCUUGAAAUAAUCACAGCUGGGAGGACGAGGUUGGUAGCUGAGGAUGAUGUGUAGAGCGGGAGGAAGGAGGUGUGAGGCUUGGAACUCUCCUUGUGAAGUGCUCAGGGACAGCGGUGAGGAGCAUGGCAGGUGUCCAACUUGACCUCCUCGGCAACAGCAGCAACAAGGGUGGCCGUGGCGACAAGGGAGGAGAUAACAACCAGCAGAGCAAUGAAAUCGCUAAGUCUCUGAUCCCGCCACUUCCUGCUCGAUUCGCUUGGCUCCUGCGCUGAUUUCUCUUUGUUUUCCCAGGUUUGUUGUGGUUGCAGAAUGGCGCAGAGCAACUGGGAAGCGGACUACGUCUACGGACAUGAUGCGUGAUGUACACAUCCAUCACUACUAUUUGCUCAAGUGGAUCAUCCAAACGGCCAACCUGUUCAUGGUGGAGGGGGUGAUGCCUUCUAAGUCCUCCAAUUCAUGCUCAGGUGCAACCUGGAAUGAUUGGGUUUAUGACAUUGGGUGGCAGUAUAAUUCUCAUGCUGACGACAAUUAUUUUUUUGACGAGGAUUCAGUGGUUGUCUGUGGCAUGUGUUCAACUAGGAACUCAUCAUUAUUGGAGUCUUUCAUCUGUAUAUACCAAAGCAAGGCGGGAGAAGAAGCAGAUUGAUUGAUGAAGGAAACACAUGAAAAAGAGGAAAAGAGCAGCUAAAUGAUUGAUGGGGCAUGUGACUUAUCCCUGUUGGUUCUCCUUUCCGCAAAUUAAACCAAUAAUCAAUAUUGUCAGUUUGAGAGUAUGCUGGAUGUGAGAGUUAAUGAAGAAGAUCACUCAUGCUGUUGAAAGUACACAAGCAGUCACUGUUAAGGUCUACCGAAAAACAUGUAGAUUGUGCACAUUGAGCAGAAUUAUUGGAGCAGAAUGGAUCUAUCUCUGCGUUUCAUAUCAUUUUGCUUUGCCCUUCUCUUGCACCAAAGAAAGAAAUCUUUGUUUAUAAACUUGCGAUUUUGGUAUUGUUUUCUGAAGGCAGACCACAGAUUUUCAUGGUCAUGCACAUUUAGUGUUGUUGCCCCUUCUCUGUUCCAAAAAGACCCCAUUUUCACUGAAUAAUAAAUUGUUUUCCCUUAUUACCUUUAUGCUUUUCUCUCUCUUUUCCAUUCCAAAAAUAGAUUUUAUUUUGAACAAACGGCAAAAAGGUUUUGCUUUAUUCUUGCAAGGAUAGAGAGUAUUUUCUUCAGAUCGCCCUCUAUCAAACUUAUAUGUUUGGGAGCCUUUGUUGCAGCCAACAAAUUGUUCCUCAGAAAUUUAUAUUUAAUUCUGGUGAUUAAAUAUAAAGCAAUGCCUCUUGAAGUAGUUCCUCAGAAUCUUCUACAGGACAUAUGUUUUUGACAAAGUCUACAUGACAUAUGACUAAGACAAGACUCAUGCCAUAAGGUUCUCCAAAAUCCUUUGUUCAAGCAGAAAAACCUUUUUACACAACAACCUCAUUUUUCUCCAGUUUGGGGAUGGCAACAGUUCUACUCACAAUGGUGCUGCAUGCUGGAAGUACUCAUUAUCCUGUUGGCUCUACUCUGGAUUCCAUAUUAUGGAGAAGGUGUUCUGGAUGGUCCUAACACGCUCAUAAACAUGGAUGUGCCUUGCUACCCUCCGGGUGGUGUUCCUAAGACGGGAACCAAAUGAAGAAUCGGUGAAGGGUACAACCAAUAAAGAUGAUGCCGGGAACUUGACGACCUCUGAUAGCAAUGUUAUUGGUGCUCCACCUCCGGAGAAAGCAUGUGGAAGAUCAUUUCCUUUGUUCUCUGAAUUACAUGCACUUUGGUGAACAAAAAGUAUGAUUGGUGUUCCUGGUGAAACUGAGUGAAGCUAGAAGAUGCUAUGAGAAGGAACUUGCCAAGACCAUUUGAAGAACAGCCUGAUCUCCUGCAUGAGGGGCUCUUUUGUGUGUGCAGGACAAUCCCAACGAUUGUCCAUUCAUUUCAUCCGUCGUGUACAUCUUGGAGAACGGAAGUGCCAAACUUCAUGUCCCGAACCAACCGAUUGCAGAGGCCAAACCUGAUGCUACCCCAUUGUUUUGUAAUGUGCAAGUUAAGCUUCUGAUGGUACAUAGUUGGCAUGCAGUAAAAUCUAGCAACCAUUGGUGCAGUGCCAAAUAAAGUAACCACAGCCGGUUUUAUCAACAGAGUCAUAUUUCAAAGGUACCCCUUCGCGAAAGCAUUGAGGAUAUCGUGUAGAGGAUAACACGUGCCAAGGGUUAUCUAAAUCGAGUUGAAUUCGGACUUCCAAUCGUGGUAUGAGUCAGAGGUGGUUUAUACUUGUGGAAAGAAAACUCAAGAAGUAACCUGGGGAUUUUAUAACAUUAUAAAAGGCAUUGCAGCAUUCAAUCUUAACCUGGUGAAAAGGAACAUCACGAUUUUCAUCGGUAAUUUAUUCAGUAAAACAUACAUGCAUGCAUGCAAAUAUACUUAUAUAUUCCUUGGACAAGAUGCUCAGAGUUUUAUCAAUUUUGUUGAUGCUUCCAGAAAAACAGAAAGCGCAGGCUUGCCAGAGUGAACCCGAGGGCAUCGACCAUGAUGCUGUUGCUAGGAUGGAUUUCAGAGGGUUAGGCAUGUCGGAGAAGUGCAUUCCGCUUUAGGUGCGAUCUUUUGGUCCAACCCAAGACAUGGCUGUUAGCUUGUUGGUACAUGUACUUGGAUCUCAGGAUAGCGCCGGGCACAGCUCUAUCAUGCAAAGCUAUUGGAGUGAUCAAACUCUGUUGUGAUGAACGGUGUUCUUGUUGUAAAUUGGCGAUCAUCUGAAAAACAUUUCAUCUUUGAGAAGUAUGAUAACUAUCACUCACAUGUUUUGCCUGGGGUACAAGAAAACAAUUGAAGUACUCUGUUUCUCGAUA